Molecule: ribosomal RNA, 492 nt
Filed under: uncultured bacterium
Lineage: Bacteria
Description: partial 16S ribosomal RNA
Rfam family: Bacterial small subunit ribosomal RNA
Source: RNAcentral
AGUGAACGCUGGCGGUAGGCCUAACACAUGCAAGUCGAACGGCAGCACGGUAAGAGCUUGCUCUUACGGGUGGCGAGUGGCGGACGGGUGAGGAAUACAUCGGAAUCUACUUUUUCGUGGGGGAUAACGUAGGGAAACUUACGCUAAUACCGCAGACGACCUACGGGUGAAAGCAGGGGAUCUUCGGACCUUGCGCGAUUGAAUGAGCCGAUGUCGGAUUAGCUAGUUGGCGGGGUAAAGGCCCACCAAGGCGACGAUCCGUAGCUGGUCUGAGAGGAUGAUCAGCCACACUGGAGCUGAGACACGGUCCAGACUCCUACGGGAGGCAGCAGUGGGGAAUAUUGGACAAUGGGCGCAAGCCUGAUCCAGCCAUACCGCGUGGGUGAAGAAGGCCUUCGGGUUGUAAAGCCCUUUUGUUGGGAAAGAAAAGCAGCAGGUUAAUACCCCGCUGUUCUGACGGUACCCAAAGAAUAAGCACCGGCUAACUUCGUG